This 414-nucleotide ribosomal RNA is filed under the name uncultured soil bacterium. Its description in RNAcentral is "bacterial SSU rRNA". It matches the Rfam family "Bacterial small subunit ribosomal RNA", at positions 26 to 438 of the family's 1533-position model. The record is from RNAcentral.
AGAUUGAACGCUGGCGGCAUGCCUUACACAUGCAAGUCGAACGGUAGAGUAGCAAUACUCGAGAGUGGCGAACGGGUGAGUAAUAUAUCGGAACGUGCCCAGUCGUGGGGGAUAACGUAGAGAAAUUUACGCUAAUACCGCAUACGAUCUACGGAUGAAAGCGGGGGACUCGCAAGAGCCUCGCGCGAUUGGAGCGGCUGAUAUCAGAUUAGGUUGUUGGUGAGGUAAAAGCUCACCAAGCCGACGAUCUGUAGCUGGUUUGAGAGAACGACCAGCCACACUGGGACUGAGACACGGCCCAGACUCCUACGGGAGGCAGCGAGUGGGGAAUUUUGGGACAAGUGGGACGAAAGCCUGAUCCGAGCAAGUGCCGCGUGCAAGGAAGAAGGCCUUACGGGUUGUAAACUGCGUUUU